RNAcentral lists this ribosomal RNA (2718 nucleotides) under Escherichia coli. RNAcentral's name for it is "bacterial LSU rRNA". It matches the Rfam family "Bacterial large subunit ribosomal RNA". Lineage: Bacteria; Pseudomonadati; Pseudomonadota; Gammaproteobacteria; Enterobacterales; Enterobacteriaceae. The record is from RNAcentral.
GCGAUAAGCGUCGGUAAGGUGAUAUGAACCGUUAUAACCGGCGAUUUCCGAAUGGGGAAACCCAGUGUGUUUCGACACACUAUCAUUAACUGAAUCCAUAGGUUAAUGAGGCGAACCGGGGGAACUGAAACAUCUAAGUACCCCGAGGAAAAGAAAUCAACCGAGAUUCCCCCAGUAGCGGCGAGCGAACGGGGAGCAGCCCAGAGCCUGAAUCAGUGUGUGUGUUAGUGGAAGCGUCUGGAAAGGCGCGCGAUACAGGGUGACAGCCCCGUACACAAAAAUGCACAUGCUGUGAGCUCGAUGAGUAGGGCGGGACACGUGGUAUCCUGUCUGAAUAUGGGGGGACCAUCCUCCAAGGCUAAAUACUCCUGACUGACCGAUAGUGAACCAGUACCGUGAGGGAAAGGCGAAAAGAACCCCGGCGAGGGGAGUGAAAAAGAACCUGAAACCGUGUACGUACAAGCAGUGGGAGCACGCUUAGGCGUGUGACUGCGUACCUUUUGUAUAAUGGGUCAGCGACUUAUAUUCUGUAGCAAGGUUAACCGAAUAGGGGAGCCGAAGGGAAACCGAGUCUUAACUGGGCGUUAAGUUGCAGGGUAUAGACCCGAAACCCGGUGAUCUAGCCAUGGGCAGGUUGAAGGUUGGGUAACACUAACUGGAGGACCGAACCGACUAAUGUUGAAAAAUUAGCGGAUGACUUGUGGCUGGGGGUGAAAGGCCAAUCAAACCGGGAGAUAGCUGGUUCUCCCCGAAAGCUAUUUAGGUAGCGCCUCGUGAAUUCAUCUCCGGGGGUAGAGCACUGUUUCGGCAAGGGGGUCAUCCCGACUUACCAACCCGAUGCAAACUGCGAAUACCGGAGAAUGUUAUCACGGGAGACACACGGCGGGUGCUAACGUCCGUCGUGAAGAGGGAAACAACCCAGACCGCCAGCUAAGGUCCCAAAGUCAUGGUUAAGUGGGAAACGAUGUGGGAAGGCCCAGACAGCCAGGAUGUUGGCUUAGAAGCAGCCAUCAUUUAAAGAAAGCGUAAUAGCUCACUGGUCGAGUCGGCCUGCGCGGAAGAUGUAACGGGGCUAAACCAUGCACCGAAGCUGCGGCAGCGACACUAUGUGUUGUUGGGUAGGGGAGCGUUCUGUAAGCCUGUGAAGGUGUGCUGUGAGGCAUGCUGGAGGUAUCAGAAGUGCGAAUGCUGACAUAAGUAACGAUAAAGCGGGUGAAAAGCCCGCUCGCCGGAAGACCAAGGGUUCCUGUCCAACGUUAAUCGGGGCAGGGUGAGUCGACCCCUAAGGCGAGGCCGAAAGGCGUAGUCGAUGGGAAACAGGUUAAUAUUCCUGUACUUGGUGUUACUGCGAAGGGGGGACGGAGAAGGCUAUGUUGGCCGGGCGACGGUUGUCCCGGUUUAAGCGUGUAGGCUGGUUUUCCAGGCAAAUCCGGAAAAUCAAGGCUGAGGCGUGAUGACGAGGCACUACGGUGCUGAAGCAACAAAUGCCCUGCUUCCAGGAAAAGCCUCUAAGCAUCAGGUAACAUCAAAUCGUACCCCAAACCGACACAGGUGGUCAGGUAGAGAAUACCAAGGCGCUUGAGAGAACUCGGGUGAAGGAACUAGGCAAAAUGGUGCCGUAACUUCGGGAGAAGGCACGCUGAUAUGUAGGUGAAGCGACUUGCUCGUGGAGCUGAAAUCAGUCGAAGAUACCAGCUGGCUGCAACUGUUUAUUAAAAACACAGCACUGUGCAAACACGAAAGUGGACGUAUACGGUGUGACGCCUGCCCGGUGCCGGAAGGUUAAUUGAUGGGGUCAGCGCAAGCGAAGCUCUUGAUCGAAGCCCCGGUAAACGGCGGCCGUAACUAUAACGGUCCUAAGGUAGCGAAAUUCCUUGUCGGGUAAGUUCCGACCUGCACGAAUGGCGUAAUGAUGGCCAGGCUGUCUCCACCCGAGACUCAGUGAAAUUGAACUCGCUGUGAAGAUGCAGUGUACCCGCGGCAAGACGGAAAGACCCCGUGAACCUUUACUAUAGCUUGACACUGAACAUUGAGCCUUGAUGUGUAGGAUAGGUGGGAGGCUUUGAAGUGUGGACGCCAGUCUGCAUGGAGCCGACCUUGAAAUACCACCCUUUAAUGUUUGAUGUUCUAACGUGGACCCGUGAUCCGGGUUGCGGACAGUGUCUGGUGGGUAGUUUGACUGGGGCGGUCUCCUCCUAAAGAGUAACGGAGGAGCACGAAGGUUGGCUAAUCCUGGUCGGACAUCAGGAGGUUAGUGCAAUGGCAUAAGCCAGCUUGACUGCGAGCGUGACGGCGCGAGCAGGUGCGAAAGCAGGUCAUAGUGAUCCGGUGGUUCUGAAUGGAAGGGCCAUCGCUCAACGGAUAAAAGGUACUCCGGGGAUAACAGGCUGAUACCGCCCAAGAGUUCAUAUCGACGGCGGUGUUUGGCACCUCGAUGUCGGCUCAUCACAUCCUGGGGCUGAAGUAGGUCCCAAGGGUAUGGCUGUUCGCCAUUUAAAGUGGUACGCGAGCUGGGUUUAGAACGUCGUGAGACAGUUCGGUCCCUAUCUGCCGUGGGCGCUGGAGAACUGAGGGGGGCUGCUCCUAGUACGAGAGGACCGGAGUGGACGCAUCACUGGUGUUCGGGUUGUCAUGCCAAUGGCACUGCCCGGUAGCUAAAUGCGGAAGAGAUAAGUGCUGAAAGCAUCUAAGCACGAAACUUGCCCCGAGAUGAGUUCU